UUGGGAAACCAAACCACUUAUGAAUCUCAUACCAAAUCGAGCAAGCAAAAGGGCAUUUGACAAAAAGAUGAUCCUCACUUUCUGUGGAAGACAAACGGCAACCUCUCAAGGGCUCAUGAUCAACAACCAAGACACCACGGGAAGCCAAAUUAGCUCUAGUAGGAAGGCGCCCCCUAAGAAGUUGCCAAGAGUAGGUUACCACUUGAGGGAGCAAAACUUUUCCACAACCAUCCCAUCCACCUUCCCUUUGCCUCCUCCAAAAAAGAAUGGGAGUUAAGGAAAUUGUUCAAAUAAAUAUAAAUACACUUGACCGCAAAACUCCCACCAAUGCCAACGGAGCGAACCGCGAAUCCGACAAAUCCACCAAAGACACCAGAAGAACAAUUGACAACAACUCGUCUCUUCCACACGAGGUUCCACCGCUACACCGGAAAACCCCAUCCCAACCCCCAUGUCGGAAAUAUAACAAUCUGGAUUUUAGGAUAUUAAGAAAGACCUUGGAAAAACAACAUAAUGAGGGUGACUCCAGAUCCACUUGUCUAACCAAAACCGCAUUGCCCCCCGUCACCCAACUUUUUCACAUUUACACCAAUCACUCUCAACUCCCCCCUAUCUCCCCAACUAUACAAGUCCUUCCACCAAAGAGAAGAGGAAGAAGAAGCCCUAGAAAGACUGGGAUUAAGCAAAAUACCUUUCCCAUAUUUGGCACUCAAAACCAAUGACCAUUUAAGAUAAACAAGGUAAUUCGUCCAUCGGUUAUGACUGCUCAAAAACUAUUUCGGCUGAGAAACCAAAAUUUUGAAUUUUUAUAAGAGGGACCAAUUAGAAAGCCUAAGAUUUCCAGUUUCUGUCAUUUGCCCAUCGGUUAUGGCUGCUCACCAGUUGGGGGCAAGAGACACACUUUAAGAUAAACAAAGUCUAUUGGCCUCGUAGGGUGUGGUUUUGUUAAAUUUCUCCUUCCCUGCAUUUCACUGGUGCUUUGAGUUGAUGGUUAAAUUUUUAUGUCACUUAGAUUCAGGAAUGAACAUUGAAUGUCGUAGAACUCCGGAAGUCCACGAAUAUUAUUUAUCAUACACCGGGAGUUCAGCCUUACAAAGAACAGAUGAAUUUCGAAAAAUAGAAUGAAAAUACUUGAGACUUCAGUGAGAAACGGCGACCAAGGACUUGAGCUUCAAAAUGACCCCCUGCCAUGAAGAACUGUGAAAGCCUUAAAAAUCAUCUAAGUUUAAAUAUUCUUUCAUUAGACACAAUUUAUGGUAGGGUACUUCAAAAUUAUCUGAUCUAUGAUUCACUCGCCGCUUGCCCAUAGUGUAUUCUUAUAUUGUCCGCUAACUUCUUCUGCAAUGAUCUUUUCCUUUCCUCCACUGCCUUAUUUCUAUUCCCCC
RNAcentral lists this long non-coding RNA (1385 nucleotides) under Medicago truncatula (barrel medic). Its description in RNAcentral is "long non-coding RNA (MTRU_LNC007077)". The record is from RNAcentral. Lineage: Eukaryota; Viridiplantae; Streptophyta; Magnoliopsida; Fabales; Fabaceae.